This 1156-nucleotide ribosomal RNA is filed under the name Escherichia coli. Its description in RNAcentral is "partial 23S ribosomal RNA". It matches the Rfam family "Bacterial large subunit ribosomal RNA", at positions 609 to 1767 of the family's 2925-position model. Lineage: Bacteria; Pseudomonadati; Pseudomonadota; Gammaproteobacteria; Enterobacterales; Enterobacteriaceae. The record is from RNAcentral.
UGUAUAAUGGGUCAGCGACUUAUAUUCUGUAGCAAGGUUAACCGAAUAGGGGAGCCGAAGGGAAACCGAGUCUUAACUGGGCGUUAAGUUGCAGGGUAUAGACCCGAAACCCGGUGAUCUAGCCAUGGGCAGGUUGAAGGUUGGGUAACACUAACUGGAGGACCGAACCGACUAAUGUUGAAAAAUUAGCGGAUGACUUGUGGCUGGGGGUGAAAGGCCAAUCAAACCGGGAGAUAGCUGGUUCUCCCCGAAAGCUAUUUAGGUAGCGCCUCGUGAAUUCAUCUCCGGGGGUAGAGCACUGUUUCGGCAAGGGGGUCAUCCCGACUUACCAACCCGAUGCAAACUGCGAAUACCGGAGAAUGUUAUCACGGGAGACACACGGCGGGUGCUAACGUCCGUCGUGAAGAGGGAAACAACCCAGACCGCCAGCUAAGGUCCCAAAGUCAUGGUUAAGUGGGAAACGAUGUGGGAAGGCCCAGACAGCCAGGAUGUUGGCUUAGAAGCAGCCAUCAUUUAAAGAAAGCGUAAUAGCUCACUGGUCGAGUCGGCCUGCGCGGAAGAUGUAACGGGGCUAAACCAUGCACCGAAGCUGCGGCAGCGACACUAUGUGUUGUUGGGUAGGGGAGCGUUCUGUAAGCCUGCGAAGGUGUACUGUGAGGUAUGCUGGAGGUAUCAGAAGUGCGAAUGCUGACAUAAGUAACGAUAAAGCGGGUGAAAAGCCCGCUCGCCGGAAGACCAAGGGUUCCUGUCCAACGUUAAUCGGGGCAGGGUGAGUCGACCCCUAAGGCGAGGCCGAAAGGCGUAGUCGAUGGGAAACAGGUUAAUAUUCCUGUACUUGGUGUUACUGCGAAGGGGGGACGGAGAAGGCUAUGUUGGCCGGGCGACGGUUGUCCCGGUUUAAGCGUGUAGGCUGGUUUUCCAGGCAAAUCCGGAAAAUCAAGGCUGAGGCGUGAUGACGAGGCACUACGGUGCUGAAGCAACAAAUGCCCUGCUUCCAGGAAAAGCCUCUAAGCAUCAGGUAACAUCAAAUCGUACCCCAAACCGACACAGGUGGUCAGGUAGAGAAUACCAAGGCGCUUGAGAGAACUCGGGUGAAGGAACUAGGCAAAAUGGUGCCGUAACUUCGGGAGAAGGCACGCUGAUAUGUAGGUGAAGU